Molecule: ribosomal RNA, 397 nt
Filed under: uncultured Thermus sp.
Lineage: Bacteria; Thermotogati; Deinococcota; Deinococci; Thermales; Thermaceae
Description: bacterial SSU rRNA
Rfam family: Bacterial small subunit ribosomal RNA
Source: RNAcentral
GCUAGGGAACCCGGGUGAAAGCCUGGGGUGCCCCGCGAGGGGAGCCCUAGCACAGGUGCUGCAUGGCCGUCGUCAGCUCGUGCCGUGAGGUGUUGGGUUAAGUCCCGCAACGAGCGCAACCCCGCCGUUAGUGCCAGCGGUUCGGCCGGGCACUCUAACGGGACUGCCCGCGAAAGCGGGAGGAAGGAGGGGACGACGUCUGGUCAGCAUGGCCCUUACGGCCUGGGCGACACACGUGCUACAAUGCCCACUACAAAGCGAUGCCACCCGGCAACGGGGAGCUAAUCGCAAAAAGGUGGGCCCAGUUCGGAUUGGGGUCUGCAACCCGACCCCAUGAAGCCGGAAUCGCUAGUAAUCGCGGAUCAGCCAUGCCGCGGUGAAUACGUUCCCGGGCCUU